GAUCGACGCGCGUCAACCGGACGUGGCGGUACAGGGAACAGGUCGGGUUUUUCCGGUUUCCCCACCUGGCCAACGAAACGGCAGCCGAGCCCUUGCCCCGCCCGCUUU
Molecule: small RNA, 108 nt
Filed under: Devosia sp. Root413D1
Lineage: Bacteria; Pseudomonadati; Pseudomonadota; Alphaproteobacteria; Hyphomicrobiales; Devosiaceae
Description: Rhizobiales sRNA Atu_At1
Rfam family: Rhizobiales sRNA Atu_At1
Source: Rfam by way of RNAcentral